Molecule: ribosomal RNA, 521 nt
Filed under: Escherichia coli
Lineage: Bacteria; Pseudomonadati; Pseudomonadota; Gammaproteobacteria; Enterobacterales; Enterobacteriaceae
Description: partial 23S ribosomal RNA
Rfam family: Bacterial large subunit ribosomal RNA
Source: RNAcentral
CCAGACCGCCAGCUAAGGUCCCAAAGUCAUGGUUAAGUGGGAAACGAUGUGGGAAGGCCCAGACAGCCAGGAUGUUGGCUUAGAAGCAGCCAUCAUUUAAAGAAAGCGUAAUAGCUCACUGGUCGAGUCGGCCUGCGCGGAAGAUGUAACGGGGCUAAACCAUGCACCGAAGCUGCGGCAGCGACACUAUGUGUUGUUGGGUAGGGGAGCGUUCUGUAAGCCUGUGAAGGUGGCCUGUGAGGGUUGCUGGAGGUAUCAGAAGUGCGAAUGCUGACAUAAGUAACGAUAAAGCGGGUGAAAAGCCCGCUCGCCGGAAGACCAAGGGUUCCUGUCCAACGUUAAUCGGGGCAGGGUGAGUCGACCCCUAAGGCGAGGCCGAAAGGCGUAGUCGAUGGGAAACAGGUUAAUAUUCCUGUACUUGGUGUUACUGCGAAGGGGGGACGGAGAAGGCUAUGUUGGCCGGGCGACGGUUGUCCCGGUUUAAGCGUGUAGGCUGGUUUUCCAGGCAAAUCCGGAAAACC